RNAcentral lists this ribosomal RNA (750 nucleotides) under uncultured bacterium. Its description in RNAcentral is "bacterial SSU rRNA". It matches the Rfam family "Bacterial small subunit ribosomal RNA", at positions 41 to 754 of the family's 1533-position model. The record is from RNAcentral.
GGGAAGCAUAUACUGCAGUCGAGCGAGCUUGCCUAGAUGAUUUUAGUGCUUGCACUAAAUGAAACUAGAUACAAGCGAGCGGCGGACGGGUGAGUAACACGUGGGUAACCUGCCCAAGAGACUGGGAUAACACCUGGAAACAGAUGCUAAUACCGGAUAACAACACUAGACGCAUGUCUAGAGUUUGAAAGAUGGUUCUGCUAUCACUCUUGGAUGGACCUGCGGUGCAUUAGCUAGUUGGUAAGGUAACGGCUUACCAAGGCAAUGAUGCAUAGCCGAGUUGAGAGACUGAUCGGCCACAUUGGGACUGAGACACGGCCCAAACUCCUACGGGAGGCAGCAGUAGGGAAUCUUCCACAAUGGACGAAAGUCUGAUGGAGCAACGCCGCGUGAGUGAAGAAGGGUUUCGGCUCGUAAAGCUCUGUUGGUAGUGAAGAAAGAUAGAGGUAGUAACUGGCCUUUAUUUGACGGUAAUUACUUAGAAAGUCACGGCUAACUACGUGCCAGCAGCCGCGGUAAUACGUAGGUGGCAAGCGUUGUCCGGAUUUAUUGGGCGUAAAGCGAGUGCAGGCGGUUCAAUAAGUCUGAUGUGAAAGCCUUCGGCUCAACCGGAGAAUUGCAUCAGAAACUGUUGAACUUGAGUGCAGAAGAGGAGAGUGGAACUCCAUGUGUAGCGGUGGAAUGCGUAGAUAUAUGGAAGAACACCAGUGGCGAAGGCGGCUCUCUGGUCUGCAACUGACGCUGAGGCUC